AAAGGGUUUACAAAAUUAGAUACCACAGAGGAAGGGGGGACAGCUGACCAGAGCACAAAGGUUAACAUUUUGAUUGACUCUGAGGAAGGUAGGACAGCUGACCAGAGCACAAAGGUUAACAUUUUGAUUGACUCUGAGGAAGGUAGGACAGUUGACCAGAGCACAAAGGUUAACAUUUUUAUUGACUCUGAGGAAUAUGGCAGUGGGACAGCUAACCAAUCACAAAGGUCAAUUCGUAGA
Gadus macrocephalus (Pacific cod) is the source of this 240-nucleotide long non-coding RNA. RefSeq lists it as uncharacterized. The record is from RefSeq and is a predicted model, not a curated record. The transcript has 2 exons. NCBI's taxonomy places the organism in Eukaryota, Metazoa, Chordata, Actinopteri, Gadiformes, Gadidae.